UACGAAGGGGGCUAGCGUUGUUCGGAAUUACUGGGCGUAAAGCGCACGUAGGCGGAUACUUAAGUCAGGGGUGAAAUCCCGGGGCUCAACCCCGGAACUGCCUUUGAUACUGGGUAUCUCGAGUCCGGAAGAGGUGAGUGGAAUUCCGAGUGUAGAGGUGAAAUGCGCAGAUAUCGGGAGGAACACCAAUGGCGAAGGCAGCUCGCUGGGACGGUACUGACGCUGAGGCGCGAAAGCGUGGGGAGCAAACAGG
Molecule: ribosomal RNA, 253 nt
Filed under: uncultured bacterium
Lineage: Bacteria
Description: partial 16S ribosomal RNA
Rfam family: Bacterial small subunit ribosomal RNA
Source: RNAcentral